This 253-nucleotide ribosomal RNA is filed under the name uncultured bacterium. RNAcentral describes it as "partial 16S ribosomal RNA". It matches the Rfam family "Bacterial small subunit ribosomal RNA", at positions 524 to 776 of the family's 1533-position model. The record is from RNAcentral.
UACAGAGGUCUCAAGCGUUGUUCGGAUUCAUUGGGCGUAAAGGGUGCGUAGGCGGACUAUUAAGUCAGUGGUGAAAGCCCCAAGCUUAACUUGGGAACUGCCAUUGAUACUGAUGGUCUUGAGUACAUUUGAGGUGGGCGGAAUGUGUCAUGUAGCGGUGAAAUGCUUAGAUAUGAUACAGAACACCGAUUGCGAAGGCAGCUCACUAAACUGUAACUGACGCUGAGGCACGAAAGCGUGGGGAGCAAACAGG